GAAGCCUGAUCCAGCCUGCCGCGUGUGUGAAGAAGGCUUCGGAUUGUAAAGCACUUUUAGUUGGGAGGAAGGGCAGUAAGUUAAUACCUUGCUGUUUUGACGUUACCAACACAAUAAGCACCGGCUAACUUCGUGCCAGCAGCCGCGGUAAUACA
Molecule: ribosomal RNA, 155 nt
Filed under: uncultured bacterium
Lineage: Bacteria
Description: partial 16S ribosomal RNA
Rfam family: Bacterial small subunit ribosomal RNA
Source: RNAcentral